Long non-coding RNA from Acipenser ruthenus (sterlet), 426 nucleotides. RefSeq lists it as uncharacterized. The transcript has 3 exons. Lineage: Eukaryota; Metazoa; Chordata; Actinopteri; Acipenseriformes; Acipenseridae. The record is from RefSeq and is a predicted model, not a curated record.
CCAGAGCACGAGGCGAACAGGAGCAGCGAGAUCUUUGCCAGCUUUUCUGCAAAAGGAGAUCUCAACCCCAACACCAGCUUGAGGACUUGGAUACCAGACCAACGUCUCAAGCAGGUAAACGUACGGUCACCCUUCAUUCAUACUUGCUAUAUAUGUCAUGGAGUUGCUGGUGAUUUCCGGUCCAUUAAAGAGCAGCUCAGCUUCCACUAGGUGAAGAGAGGUGUUGCAAGACAAGGCUGAUCCAUCCUUCCUCUCCACUGAAAUUUAAAACCUGAGUGGGUUUACUGCUUUUAGGGAUAACAGUCUAGUUGCAAAAAAAAAAAAAAUAUUGGGGGCUAUUUCUUUUCUUCUCUGGGGUGUAAUAUAUGGGAUAAACUAUAUUCUGUGCUUUUAUAAUUUAAGCAAAUAAAGACUACCUUUAGUAAA